This 972-nucleotide ribosomal RNA is filed under the name uncultured crenarchaeote. Its description in RNAcentral is "partial 16S ribosomal RNA". It matches the Rfam family "Archaeal small subunit ribosomal RNA", at positions 1 to 897 of the family's 1478-position model. Lineage: Archaea; Thermoproteati; Thermoproteota. The record is from RNAcentral.
AUCCAACGCGUUGGGAGCUCUCCCAUAUGGUCGACCUGCAGGCGGCCGCACUAGUGAUUUUCCGGUUGAUCCUGCCGGACCCGACUGCUAUCGGAUUGANAUUUAGCCAUGCGAGUCGAACGUUCCCCUGUUGCGGGGGGCGUGGCGUACGGCUCAGUAACACGUAGUCAACCUGCCCUGGAGACCAGAAUAACCCCGGGAAACUGGGAUUAAUACUGGAUAGGUCAUCUCAUCUGGAAGGAGAGAUGGCUUAAAGGGGUGUGUGAGCUUCUUUCAUACAGCUGCUCCAGGAUGGGACUGCGACUGAUCAGGCUGUUGGCGGGGUAAUGGCCCACCAAACCAGUAACCAGUACGGGCCUUGAGAGAGGGGGCCCGGAGAUGGACACUGAGAGAAGGGUCCAGGUCCUACGGGGCGCAGAGGCGCGAAAACCUUCGCAAUGCGCGAAAGUGACGAGGUUAAUCCGAGUGGUUCCCGCUGAGGGAAUCUUUUGUCGGCUCUAAAAAGGCCGGCGAAUAAGGGGAGGGCAAGUCUUGUGUCAGCGCCGCGGUAAUACCAGCUCCUCGAGUGGUCGGGGCGAUUAUUGGGCCUAAAGCAUCCGUAGCCGGUUCUGUAGGUCCUCUGUUAAAUCCAACGGCUUAACCGUUGGCCCGCAGAGGAUACCGCAGGACUAGGAGGCGGGAGAGGCAGACGGUACUCUACGUGUAGGGGUAAAAUCCUUUGAUCCGUAGAAGACCACCAGUGGCGAAGGCGGUCUGCCAGAACGCGCUCGACGGUGAGGGAUGAAAGCUGGGGGAGCGAACCGGAUUAGAUACCCGGGUAGUCCCAGCCGUAAACGAUGCGAGCUAGAUGAUUCGGUCGCAAAUCGCGAUCGAAGUGUCGCAGGGAAGCCGUUAAGCUCGCCGCCUGGGGAGUACGGUCGCAAUACUGAAACUUAAAGGAAUUGCGGAAUCCCGCGCCAUGGCGGCCGGGUA